Molecule: ribosomal RNA, 253 nt
Filed under: uncultured bacterium
Lineage: Bacteria
Description: partial 16S ribosomal RNA
Rfam family: Bacterial small subunit ribosomal RNA
Source: RNAcentral
UACGUAGGGGGCAAGCGUUGUCCGGAAUCAUUGGGCGUAAAGAGCGUGUAGGCGGCCAUGUAGGUCCGUUGUGAAAACUCGAGGCUCAACCUCGAGACGCCGAUGGAAACCAUGUGGCUAGAGUCCGGAAGAGGAGAGUGGAAUUCCUGGUGUAGCGGUGAAAUGCGCAGAUAUCAGGAAGAACACCCGUGGCUAAGGCGGCUCUCUAGUACGGUACUGACGCUGAGACGCGAAAGCGUGGGGAGCAAACAGG